RNAcentral lists this transfer RNA (107 nucleotides) under Microcaldota archaeon. Its description in RNAcentral is "tRNA-Ser". It matches the Rfam family "tRNA". From Rfam's summary of the family: Transfer RNA (tRNA) molecules are approximately 80 nucleotides in length. Their secondary structure includes four short double-helical elements and three loops (D, anti-codon, and T loops). Lineage: Archaea; Nanobdellati; Microcaldota. The record is from RNAcentral.
GCCGGGAUGGCAGAAUCAGGUAUCGCGCCAGACUCGAGAUCUGGUGGCCUUCGGGCUUUUAGGGUUCAAAGCUUAACCAAAAGCUGAUGAGAUUCCCUAUCCCGGCG